AUUUUUCUAGUAUAAAAAGUACAAUUGAUUUCCAAUCAAUAAGUUUGAAAGAUCAAGAAAAAUA
This 64-nucleotide transfer RNA is filed under the name Monistria discrepans. Its description in RNAcentral is "tRNA-Gly". The record is from RNAcentral. Lineage: Eukaryota; Metazoa; Arthropoda; Insecta; Orthoptera; Pyrgomorphidae.